UAAGCGGAGGAAAAGAAACUAACAAGGAUUCCCCUAGUAACGGCGAGUGAAGCGGGAAGAGCUCAACAUUGUAAUCUGGCUGUCGCAGUCCGAGUUGUAGUCUAUAGAAGCAUGAUCCGCGCCGGCCCUUGGGCAUGUCUGUUGGAACGCAGUGUCAAAGAGGGUGAAAAUCCCGUACAUACCAAGGACGACCGUGUGCAUUGUGGUCUGCUCUCUAAGAGUCGAGUUGUUUGGGAAUGCAGCUCUAAUUGGGUGGUAAAUUCCAUCUAAAGCUAAAUAUCGACGAGAGACCGAUAGCGAACAAGUACAGUAAUGGAAAGAUGAAAAGUAGCCUGCAGAGGCAAUGAAACAAUACGUGAAACCGUUUGUAGGGAAGCGAUGGAACCUUUUCACGCUGCGAGGGUUCAGCUUGGCUUCGGCUUAGUGUAUUCCCUCGUUUUGCGGACCAGCAUCAGUUUGCUUCGCAGUAUAAGGGUGAUUGGAACGUGGCUUCUCCGGAAGUGUUAUAGCCUUUCACUGGAUGCUGUGUCGCAGACUGAGGACUGCAGUGCGCCGUAAGGCAGGCCUUCGGGCACGAGCACUUAGGAUGCUGGGCGAAUGGGUUUCAACGACCCGUCUUGAAACACG
RNAcentral lists this ribosomal RNA (627 nucleotides) under Sterigmatomyces halophilus. Its description in RNAcentral is "eukaryotic LSU rRNA". It matches the Rfam family "Eukaryotic large subunit ribosomal RNA", at positions 47 to 663 of the family's 3401-position model. Lineage: Eukaryota; Fungi; Basidiomycota; Agaricostilbomycetes; Agaricostilbales; Agaricostilbaceae. The record is from RNAcentral.